Molecule: ribosomal RNA, 460 nt
Filed under: uncultured bacterium
Lineage: Bacteria
Description: partial 16S ribosomal RNA
Rfam family: Bacterial small subunit ribosomal RNA
Source: RNAcentral
CCUACGGGUGGCAGCAGUGGGGAAUAUUGGUCAAUGGGCGCGAGCCUGAACCAGCCAAGUAGCGUGAAGGAUGACUGCCCUACGGGUUGUAAACUUCUUUUAUAAAGGAAUAAGGUGAGGCACGUGAGCCUUUUUGUAUGUACUUUAUGAAUUAGGAUCGGCUAACUCCGUGCCAGCAGCCGCGCUAAUACGGAGGAUCCGAGCGUUAUCUGGAUUUAUUGGGUGUAAAGGGAGCGUAGAUGGGUUGUUAAGUCAGUUGUGAAAGUUUGCGGCUCAACCGUAAAAUUGCAAUUGAUACUGGCAGCCUUGAGUACAGAUGAGGAAGGCGGAAUUCGUGGUGUAGCGGUGAAAUGCUUAGAUAUCACGAAGAACUCCGAUUGCGAAGGCAGCCUACUAAACUGCCACUGACAUUGAGGCUCGAAAGUGUGGGUAUCAAACAGGAUUAGAUACCCCAGUAGUC